RNAcentral lists this ribosomal RNA (253 nucleotides) under uncultured bacterium. Its description in RNAcentral is "partial 16S ribosomal RNA". It matches the Rfam family "Bacterial small subunit ribosomal RNA", at positions 524 to 776 of the family's 1533-position model. The record is from RNAcentral.
UACGUAGGGGGCAAGCGUUGUCCGGAUUUAUUGGGCGUAAAGAGCGUGUAGGCGGCCAGGUAGGUCCGUUGUGAAAACUCGAGGCUCAACCUCGAGACGCCGAUGGAAACCAUCUGGCUAGAGUCCGGAAGAGGAGAGUGGAAUUCCCGGUGUAGCGGUGAAAUGCGCAGAUAUCGGGAGGAACACCAGUGGCGAAGGCGGCGAUCUGGGAAGAUACUGACGCUGAGGUGCGAAAGCGUGGGGAGCAAACAGG